UUAGCCUGAAGCCAGAGGACUGUCAACAGUUACUGCACCAAAUCAGCACCUACACAGUCCUUCAUCACCACGGCCAUGGGCGUGACUGUAAUCCACAUGAUGAAACAAAACUAAUCCUUUUGGCCUUUGCAAAUGACUGAAAUUCUCAAUUGCUUUCAUGAAAUUGAUUUCAUGUGGGUGAGGGUCCAUAGUGACGCAGAGUCCCCAGGCAGGUGCAAAGGAGAGCCCCUUUAUUGCAAAAGCCAGGCCUUUUGAAACAGUCAGGGCUUUAUCAGUUAUAUAGUUUUAAAUCAUAACAAAUGUAAUCCAACCAACCACCCUACACUAUGACGUAAACAGCUAAUGGUUAUUUAACUUGGUUUUCUACCUCUAAUCCAGCUGAGUCAUUUUCCCAUAGUCCUCUUCUACUUAGCUGAAGUAGCAGGCCUGAGCCAGGAUUUUACAAAGCAUUUCCACUGGCUUUGCAUGAGAAUAACAGAGAUGUGUCAUCCCUUGGAGUAGCUUUGCCAGGACCAGCUAAGAGAAACCAGCACAGCCUUUUGAUACUACACGUCACUUUUUUUUCCAGAAAAGGUUGCCUAGAGUUUGCUGUUCCAGAAUUCGUGAUUUCAGUGCUGUCAUAUGUCUUUGGCUCACAAGGAGAGUUAAAUGUGAAACCAGAUUCAGAUUUUUUGACUCAGCCCAAACCCCAGUGCAUGGCUGCAUCUGCUGUUGGACAUUGCCAAAGAUGCCAGGGAAGGUCACCUUCUGGUCUGACCUGUUGUAGCUCUUCUGUGCAAGAAAUGUUAUUUACAAAAUCACCGGUCAUCACGUAAGCUGCAAGUCUAAAAGAAAUAGCAAGCCAGAAACCCACAUAAUAAACCUGUUUCAUCAAAUGACCAGCCAUGGGAGACUGAAGUCAAUGCUUUCAGAGAAGACAAUGCUUUUCUAGCAGAGCAGAUGUUGAAAGAUGAGAAAACAGCAAAUGUAGAUGGCAAUUACAAUCCAACUGCAUUUGGAAACUUUCAACAGAGUGAAUCUUUGGCCAGAAAGAUUGAAGAUUUGGUCACUGAAGUAUCCAACAACACACUUGUGCUGCAGAAACAUUUCUGGGUACUGCUUUAUAACCUACACUCUGCAUAAGGAUUUCCAUCAGACAACUGGCCUCUGGUAUAUCCUGACAUUGGGACUCAACAAAAUCAAACAGUAUCUUAAUUUCCAGCUCGAACCAUUCUGUGAUUCUAUGAUUAAAAAGCAGGUUCCUGGCACAGAAGAAGAACCUUUUACUUAGGCAAGUUAUGCCCACAGAACACAGUAAGUCCUCAUCCUCAAACACAAUUGAAUGGCAAAACCAUGUGAAAUUUCUAAAAGAAAUUAAUAAUGUAGAGAACAACCAACUGUUAAAAGCAGGUUUUUAGGACUCCUGAUGUACUCUCUUCCAUAUUAAAUAAUAACUCUGAGAAGGCUAUUAAAUGAUUGAGCUGUAAGGUACAUAAAUCUUACUCUGCCUUGCCACUAACAGUACUUUUGAUGAAAAUAUAUUCUUAAAUUGUACGUGUGUUGAUCAAAGAAACUGUAAAUUCUGAAGGUUCUGACAUUUCCCUAGUGAAAAGUUAUAUUCUUGCUUUGCAUCCAAGAAAAAGAUUUGUUGGUCAUUUAUUCAAAGUCUGUCAUUCAACACUCAGAAAUGAAUGAAACAAUUAAACACUAAGAUUAUUAAUGUCUUCACCUGUCUAAAAUUCUGUGCAAUUUUUCCAUGUAGGAUACAUUGCAAACUUAUUUGGUUUAUUUUCAACUCCCCCUACAAUCUCACUCUCUCCUUUUAUUUAUAUCAUGUCCAAGAACAUGGGAGUUAUAAGUUUGUUCUUGAAAACAGGAAAAAUGUGGGACUGCACAGAAAUAUUUCAAAAAUAUCAGCUGCAUAUAACAUGCUAUGAUUUAAUUGGCCAUACCAAUCAUUCCUGAGAGGCAGCACAGUGUCAGUUUCACUGACAACACAUAAAAAAUUUCUGUGACCUAUUUCUGAUGUUUUGGGCUCAUGAUAGUAGAAUAAGGAGUUAAAAGUGAAAUGCUCAGUGGCAUAUUCAUUCUUUACCUGCAACCAAACUCAUCCAGCACUGCCUUCACAAAGAUUGGGUUUGUAU
This is a long non-coding RNA of Passer domesticus (house sparrow), 2123 nucleotides long. RefSeq lists it as uncharacterized. The record is from RefSeq and is a predicted model, not a curated record. The transcript has 5 exons. Lineage: Eukaryota; Metazoa; Chordata; Aves; Passeriformes; Passeridae.